AAUCAACGCUGGCGGCGUGCCUCAGACAUGCAAGUCCGAACGCGAAAGUCCCCUUCGGGGGACGAAGUAGAGUGGCGCACGGGUGAGUAACACGUGGGUAAUUUACCUUCGGGUGGGGAAGUAACAGUCGGAACGACUGCUAAUACCGCAUGAUGCAGCGGCACCACAUGGUGACAGUUGUUAAAGCGGGGGAGUCGCAAGACCUCGCGCCUGAAGAGAAGCCCGCGGCAGAUUAGCUAGUUGGUAAGGUAAUGCUUACCAAGGCAACGAUCUGUAGCCGGCCUGAGGAGGGCGGUCGGCCACACUGACACUGAAUAACGGGUCA
This 325-nucleotide ribosomal RNA is filed under the name uncultured bacterium. Its description in RNAcentral is "bacterial SSU rRNA". It matches the Rfam family "Bacterial small subunit ribosomal RNA", at positions 32 to 333 of the family's 1533-position model. The record is from RNAcentral.